This 418-nucleotide ribosomal RNA is filed under the name uncultured fungus. Its description in RNAcentral is "eukaryotic LSU rRNA". The stretch from base 1 to 125 matches the Rfam family "5.8S ribosomal RNA", at positions 30 to 154 of the family's 154-position model. The record is from RNAcentral. Lineage: Eukaryota; Fungi.
GCAUCGAUGAAGAACGCAGCGAAACGCGAUAGGUAAUGUGAAUUGCAGAAUUCCGUGAAUCAUCGAAUCUUUGAACGCACCUUGCGCUCCAUGGCAUUCCGUGGAGCAUGCCUGUUUGAGUGCCGCGAAAUCUCCCACCCCUAGCGGUUGCCGCAAGGCGCCGCCGGGCGGCGGGGUUGGUUGGGUGCCGCUGCCUGGGCUUUGGCCCAGGCUCGCCCGAAAUGCAUGAGCACUUAGCACUCGCACCGUCUCGAGGGAAGGCGGCGGAGCUGGCAUCUGCGCAUGGCAUGAUACGUCAUUUGCUGUGUGGCAGCCCAGCGACCCGAGAGUGUGUGUGCGCUACUACACGCCCUUUCAUUUCUGGUCUCAAAUCAGGUAGGAUCACCCGCUGAACUUAAGCAUAUCAAUAAGCGGAGGA